RNAcentral lists this ribosomal RNA (433 nucleotides) under uncultured bacterium. Its description in RNAcentral is "partial 16S ribosomal RNA". It matches the Rfam family "Bacterial small subunit ribosomal RNA", at positions 29 to 507 of the family's 1533-position model. The record is from RNAcentral.
AGCGAACGCUGGCGGCAGGCUUAACACAUGCAAGUCGAGCGGGCCCUUCGGGGUCAGCGGUGGACGGGUGAGUAACGCGUGGGGACGUUCCUUCUGGUCUGGAAUAACCCUGGGAAACUAGGGCUAAUACCGGAUAAGCCCUUUUGGGGAAUGGGUUACUGCCGGACAAUCGGCCCGCGUCUGAUUAGCUAGUUGGUGGGGUAACGGCCUACCAAGGCGACUAUCAGUAGCUGGUCUGAGAGGAUGAUCCGACACACUGGGACUGUGACCCGGCCCAGACGCCUACGGGAGGUAGCAGUGGGGAAUAUUGGACAAUGGGCGCAAGCCUGAUCCAGCCAUGCCGCGUGAGUGUUGAAGUCCUUAGGGUUGUAAAGCUCUUUUAUCCGGGACGAUAAUGACGGUACCGGAGGAAUAAGCCCCGGCUAACUUCGUG